Molecule: long non-coding RNA, 9574 nt
Organism: Dama dama (fallow deer)
Lineage: Eukaryota; Metazoa; Chordata; Mammalia; Artiodactyla; Cervidae
Exons: 3
Source: RefSeq, a predicted model, not a curated record
AAGGAUGGUAUAGAUUUACCUAGUGGUUCUCGGCCAGCGGCAGUUUUGCCCACCACACAUUUAACAAUGUUUGGAAACAUUCUGGUUGUCACAACUAGGGGAAGGGGUACUACUGAUACGUAGUGAAUAAUAGAAGCCAGAGAUGCUGCUAAACAUCUUACAGGGUUUAGCACAGGGUUGCCCGCUAAAGCAAAGAGGUACCUGGUACAAAACGUCAGUAGUGCUAAGGUUGAGAAAACCAUGGGUUAACCUAAAGAGUUAAGGAGACUAAAGCUAUGUUAUCCUUACUAGAUUAAUUUUGAGUGUUUGGUGAAUUUUAUGUGUUCUAGUAAGAAAUUGCCUAUUCAUCUGGUAAUUCCUCAAGGACCUUAAGAACAAAGAUAAAUUUGUGAUCUUUUUCUAAUUUAGGGCUUUAGGGAAACAUUUUUGAUAUUCCUAAAAUUUAAAGUUUAAAUUUAGUUUGCCUUUCUGUGACGUACUAAUGUGUUCCUUAGCCUCUUAUUUGAGCUUUUUGUGAGUUUCUUAUCAUGUUAGCAAAUAUUUUAGUAGUUUGUCUUCUAAUUUUGUUAUGGUGGUUUUUGACAUAAUUUUUUUUGUUAUUCAAACAUACCAGCCUUUAAUUUUGCUUUAUUUCAUUACUUUUAUCUGGAGAUAAGUGUCUACUAUAUUCAUUUACUGUUUUCAUGGGAAGAGUUUCUUGGGCUUCUGUGUUUGUUUUUCCUCCUUAGGUUAAUUUUGGUGUGUUGUUCUUAAAUAUUUAUCUGAAGUUGGUUACCCUCUUAUUGCGAAUAAGGAAGAAAAGAAUCAUAAAGGUUAAACACUUUGUCUGAAGUCACACAGCAACAGAGUGACAGAAGCAAAAAUCUCACCCAGAUCUAGACUCCAUUGUUCAUGCAGUUAUCACUAUUUCUGCCUCAAGUAUCUGUUGUUAGGAAUCUUUUCAUAGCCUUGAAAUUUAUCACUGAAAGCAGUACAUAUAAAACUUUUGCAUUGUGCCAGUUGUGAUUCACCAGCUUCCUGCAUGGGAAUUACCAAAAUGUUCCUUUAAAAUACGCUUUAGUGAACUGUAUCUUAGACCUGUGUAAUCAGGAUACUUGUGGUGAGACCUGGGAUCCUCUCUCUUACUGUUAAGGUAACACUGCUGUCUGCUAAAGUUGAAGAUUGUUCAUUUUAAUUUUGAUUUCUCCUCUGUGUCUCAUAAUCCAUUAUACAGUCAGCCCUCUGCAUCUGUGGGUUCAACCAACCGUGGAUUGAAACUGUUUGGGAAAAAUUUAACGUUUCCAAAAAGCAAAACUUGUGUUUACCCCACACCAGCAGCUCUUAAUAUUUACAUAUGAGUUGUGUUGUAUUAGGUAUUAUAAGUAAUCUGGAAGUGAUUAAAAAUAUAGAGAAGGAUGUGGAUAGGAUAUAUGCCAGUACUACGCCAUUUUAUAUGACUUGAGCAUCCAUGGGUUUUGGAAUCUGUGGAAGGGUCCUGGAAUCAGUUACUCCUGUGGCUACUGAGCGAUAACUGUACAAUGGCCAUAUUUUCUGGGAGCUAAAUCAGCAUGUAUUUCAGUUCCUUUAGCUGCUAGAAUAAAAUGUCUUUGAAAUCUUAGUAGUUUCUUUUAGGAUUGACUGGUUUGAUCCCCUUGCAGUCCAAGGGACUCUCAAGAGUCUUCUCCAACACCACAGUUCAAAAGCAUCAAUUCUUUGGCGCUCAGCCUUCUUUAUAGUCAAUUCUCACAUCUGUACAUGACUACUGGAAAAGCCAUAGCUUUAACUACACUGACCUUUGUCGGCAAAGUGUUGUCUCUACUUUUAAUACACUGUCUAGAUUUGUCAAGAUCUUCCCUGUAGCUCAGAUGGUAAAGAAUCUGCCUGCAAUGCAGGAGACCUGGGUUCGAUCCCUGGGUCAGGAAGAUGCUCUGGAGAGGGGAAUAGCAAUCCACUCCAGUAUUCUUGCCUGGAGAAUCCCAUGGAUAGAGGAACCUAACGGGUUGCAGUACAUGGGGUUGCAAAGAGUCGGACACAACUGAGCGACUAACACACACACACACACACACAAGGUUUGUCAUAGCUUUUCUUCCAAGGAGCAAGCAUCUUAUAAUUUCAUGGCUGCAGUCAUCAUCUGCAGUGAGUUUGGAGCCCAAGAAAAUAGUCUGUCACUGUUAGCAUAAUUUCACCAUCUAUUUGCUGUGAAGUGACAGGACCGGAUGCCAUGAUCUUCGAUUUUUGAAUGUUUCGUUUUAAGCCAGCUUUUUCACUCUCUUUCACCUUCAUCAAGAGGUUCUUUAGUUCCUCUUCACCUUCGGCCAUAAGGGUGGUGUCAUGUGCAUAUCUAAGGUUAUUGAUAUUUCCCCUGGCAAUCUUGAUUCCGGCUGUGCUUCAUCCUGCCCGGCAUUUCACUUGAUGUACUUUGUUCUUGUAUUCCCUGAAAAUUGCCAGUUGGGUCCAGAAAUUUGAUCAGACUCAUGUUAGAUCCCUUUGGCAAGACUGCCAGUGCUAUUACAUUCUUCAAUCAGGACACUCCUAAUGUCUGGUUUCUUUUUGUGGUGUUGGCAGCUGUUGAUAUUCAGUGCCUCGAUCCUUUAAUUCAUUGAUACUCUUAACUCAUUAUUUCUUCAUUUUUAAGUUGUAAUAUUUUUUAUAGUGAAAUGUUGUGAUUCAUCUACUAUUUGGACACUUGCUGGUACAAGUUUAUAUGGGAAAGGUAGAAUAAAUAAUUGAUUCUUGCCCUGUGCUUACCACCUUUGUUGAGAUAAAAUCCCCACACUGUGUUUCACCUUUUGAAAGUGUACAAUUCAGUGGCUUUUGUGUACGUUCAUGAAGUUGUGUGCAUCAAUUUAAGAAAUUGUCAUUACCCCAGAAAGAAACCCCACAUCCUUUAGCCAUCUCUUCCCAUUCUUCCCCCCAGCCUAUUGGACAGUCGCUAUAAAUGAAAUCAUUCAGUCUGUGCUCCCUUAUGACUGACCUCUUUCACUUAGUGCGUGAUGUUUUCAGGGUUCAUCUGUGUUGUGCUGUGUGUCAGUACUUGGUUUAUUUUCAUGCUGAACCACCAUUGUACUGCAUUUUGUGUGCACAUUCACCAGCUGAUGGAAUUUGUGCCGUUCCUGCUUUUUGGCUGUUACGUUACCGCUGUGAACGUUUCUGUGGGUUUUGUGUUUCUACAUAAGUGUUUUGAAACCAGAACCAUGUUUUGGUUGCCCUUGUAUUUUCCCAGGAGAGGAAUUGCCAGAGCAUAUAUAAUUCCAUACCCAUAUAAUCUGGGAUAGUUUCCUCAAAUAUUUUGUUAUAGCAAGACAUUCCAGGUUCAUCUUGUACUCUUCCUUUUAAUCUUCAUUCAUGCUUAGUUCUGCAGGUAACUUUAUUUGUAUUGUUCACUUGAAAGUGAAAGUAUUGGUCGCUCAGUCCGACCCUCUGCAACCCCAAUAGCCCGUCCAGGCUCCUCUGUCCAUGGAAUUCUCCAGACAAGAAUACUGGAGCAGGUGGCCAUUCCCUUCUCGAGGGAGUCUUCCCAGCCUAGAAGUUGAACCCAGGUCUCCCGUAUUGCAGGCAGAUUCUUUUCCGUCUGAGCCACCAGGGAAGUAUUGUUCACUGAAAGUUGAAAGCAUUAGUCACUCAGUUGGGUCCUACUCCUUGCGACCCCAUGAACUGUAACCCACCAGGCUCGUUUGUCCAUGGAAUUUUACAGGCAGGAAUACUGGAGUGGGUUGCCAUUUCCUCCUCCAGGUGAUCUUCCUGACCCAGGGAUGGAAUCCAGGUCUCCUGCAUUGCAUGCGGGUUCUUUACUGUCUGAGCCUCUGGUGCUUGUGUUGAAGUCUCUGAGUCAUUUUGUUUGAAGUUCUCUUGAAGAUCAUGGAAACAGUAUUGUCUGAUUUCUUGAAGGAUAAUAGUUUGUGCCCUUUAUCCCCAAGGUCGGUUUGGGGCUGUAAAAUACUUGGCUCUUGCUUUCUUUUCUUGAGUAUCUUAAAUUUAUGUAAACUUUUUUCUUUUCUGGUAUAAAGCAUUGCUGGCAGUUUGGGUGGUGGUCUAAUUUUCUUUUUUUUUUUUUUUUUGCCUAAGUAGCUCGGGAGUUUAUUUUUCCCUUUAAACUUAGUAGUCUCAGUACAGUGCGUUUUUGUGUUGGCUGUUCUAGGUUGAUACGAUCAGAUGUGUGAUGUGCUCUUGGAAUAUGUGGUUUCAUAUCCUUUUUACUUAGGUUUUAUGUUACGAAUUGGUUUUUUAAUGUCUGUUCGGAGGUGAGUUAGCUUUUCGGUGUUUUUUAAUUGUGGUAAAAUAUAGCAUAAAUGUGACAUUUAAGCCACUUUUAAAGUGUAUUAGUUCAGUGGCGUUAAGUACAUUCACAUGGUUGUGUAGCCAUCACCACCAUCCAUCCAUCUCUAGAACUUUUUUAUCUUUACAAACUGAAACCAUUCAUUAAUCAAACUUCACAUUUCUCCUUUCCCUCAGCAACCACCAUUCUACUUUGUCUAUGAAUUUCACUCUUUUUGGUACCUCUUAUAAGUAGACUCUUCAAAUAUUUGAACUUUUGUGUCUGGCUUACUUCACUUUACAUACUGUUUUCAAGAUUCAUCUUUGUUGUAACAUGUGUCAUAAUUCCCUUCCUUGGCUAAAGCUGAGUAUGUACCACAAAUUGUAUCACAAUUUGUUGAUCCAUUUUAAUCUGUCACUGGACAGAUGUAUAGCUAUUAUAAACAUGAGUGUACAAAUUGCUCAGUUCCUUACUAUCAGUACUUUGGGGUAUGUACCCAGAUACAGAAUUACUGGAUCACAUUGUAAUUCUGUUUUAAUGUUUUGAGAAACUGCCAUCCUGUUUUCCCCAGCACCAGCAGCAUCUCAUAUUCUAGCUAGUAAUGCACACAGAUGUUAGCUUCACAUCCUCUAAGGCUCACUCUUUUCUGGUUUUCUGAUAAUAACCAUCCUCAUGGGUGUGAAGUGAUUGAACUUUUGAUUUGCAAUUUUCUGGUGACUACUGACAUUGGACACCUUUUCAUGUGUUUAUUGGCCAUUUAUAUGUAUUCUGUGGGGAAACAUCUAUUCAAGUCCGUUGUCCAUAUUUUAGUUGGGUGUUGUUACUUUAUGUGAGUUCUUCAUAUACUCUAAAUAUUAAUCCAUUAUCAGAUACAUGAUUUGCAAGUAUUUUCUCCUAUUCUAUAGGCCAACUUCUCUUUUUUUCCUAAUGCACAAGAGUUUUUAAUUUUGAUGAUGUGCAGAUUACCUAGUUUUCUUUUGCUGCUUGUGCUUUUGGUAUCAUAUCAAAGUAAUCAUUGCCAAAUCCAGAAUUUAAGAAGUUUUUCCCAUCAUCUUCUAAGUUUUAUAGUUUUAGUUCUUACAUUUAGGUCUUUGAUCCAUUGUGAGUUAAUUUUUGUAUAUAGUAUAAGGUAAAGGUCUCAUUUUUUUUCAUGCAAGUAUUCCAUUUUCUCAGUACCUUUUGUUGAAUUUUUUUUUAAGAAAUUGUUUUGUUGCUGUUUUGGCCGCUCUGGGUCUUCAUUGCUUUUGUGGACGUUUCUCUUGUUGCAGAGCACAGGCUCUAGAUGCAUGGGUUUCAGUAGUUGCAGCACGCUGGUGCUACUGCCGCUAAGUAGCUUCAGUCGUGUCCGACUCUGUGUGACCCCAUGGACCACAGCCUACCAGGCUCCUCCGUCCAUGGGAUUUUCCAGGCAAGAGUACUGGAGUGGGGUGCCAUUGCCUUCUCCAAGUUGCAGCACGAGGCCUCAGUAGUUGUAGUGCUUAGUUGCUGCAGGGCUUAGUUGCUGCAGGCAUGUGAAAUCCUUCCGGACCAGGGAUCGAACCUAUGUCCCCGGCGUUGGCAAGUGGAUUCUUACCCACUGUGCCACCAUGGAAGUCCCUGAAGUGUGUCUUUCUAGCACGAUUUUUGAUGCUUAGGGACAACUCUUAUUUUUUUCUUACAGUGUCUUUGUAUGACCUAGAUACUUGUUAUCGAACUCUUUUGAGAGCUUUAAUAAGUAGAUGUGCUUCAGGGGAGCUUUUCUAGCUUCACUUUUCCUUUGUGUAGUAUUCAGAAAUGUAGCAGGUUUCUUUUUCUGUUCUGGAAUCCUUUUUCUGUGAGUCUUUGCUGAAGCUGCACCAUUAGCAUUUUUCCUUAACUAUGGUCAUAGUCCCAAAUUCUAAGCUGCAAUACCUAGAACUAGUUGGAUAUUUGUUAAUGAAGCAUCUUCAAGGCACAGAAAAUAGUUAAUUCUAGUUUUAGGGGACAAGGGAGUGUUGGGACAGUUAAGGGAUAUGGGAGAAAUAGCCUCACCAGCCUGUGGGACCUAAAGAUGAAACCUAAAGAUAUAUUAGAACAAGCUUGUUGACAAUGUAUUAGCAAGUAGAAAACAGACUUGGAGUUCUUUGCUUCUGUUAGGGCUUUUUUUUUUUUUUUGAUUAGGAGAUUGAAAAGUAACAAAAUGACUAUGGCUUUUACUUAAAUACAGAUGUAUGCACAAAGUUUAUGCAGUAAAUUAAUUACUUAAAGAAUAAAGACAAAAAUGAUUUAUUUGAAACUGACGGUGAUCUAACCAUUUUCGGUGACUUAACAAUCACCUAGGCUUUUUGUUAAUGCAAACUGACCUUGCCUCCAGCUAUCAAGGUUGAAGCCAGCAAUGAGAGUGAAGAGUGUCAGCAGCGAGAGCAUCAUGAGCAGGCGGGGAAGACAGUGGCCAGGAAUGGGCUGGAGGAGGAUAGAGAAAGGAGGGAGUCAGACUGAGAGGAAGAAAUCAAAACAUACAAAGGCAUAGAAAAAGAGAAGUGUGGAAAAACAAUUGGAGUGAGAAGAGAAGAGUUACAAGUGUAAUCGUUAAAAUGCGGAAACUGAACCACAAAGAAAAUAAGUAAUUUGCCUAGGCUAGUCAGAUAACAGAGCCAGGAUUCCACUGAGACAGUCUGACUACUAUGCUACAGCUGACUUGAUCACCUCUACCUCCCCCUUUCCAUCAUUUGUAUGCCCUGAUGGAGUAAGAUGUUUGCAGGCAGUAGAGGAGGAAAUGUGAGUGGAGUUAGUGGAUUUCACCAGGAACUUUGGAAGAGUGUUGGGUAUUAGUGUUGCUCUGAAGGAGAAUGAGACUUGAACACUAUUUAGAGGGAGAACAGAAAGACUUCUGUUAGGGAUGUGGGUAAAUAAACAAGGAACCUACCCUGAAGAUCAAUGUUAAGCUCCUCUAAUGCUUUUUUUUUUUUUUUUAAUUUUUGUAGAAUUUUAGAAUCAUUCACUAGUACGCGUUUUGUGAAUCCAUUGAGACUAUCUUCUAAGGUGAAGGACUGUGUGACUUGAAAGUUCUUCUUGAUAUCAAGGUUUACAAAAAGUCUGAAAAGGAUGGAGCUGAUACUAGGAGUCCUAAGAGAUUUUUACCAAGAAAAACUCAUUGGAGAUUUUCAGAAGUGCCUUUUAGGAAAGUUAAGAGAAAUUAUCUGGCAGUUAGGCAAACAGUUUAUUAAGUUCAGCCUAAUUUGACUUUUCACUUGAGCCUCUAUGCUUCACUCUCUGACAGAUAGUUCUAAUAUUUGAAUUUUGGCGUAGCCAUUCCCCUUUUAGACAUGAAUGAGAUAAUAAAUGAAAGAUUGUGGGAAACUGAAAGUAUAUUCAUUUUAUUGGUUCUUGGAUUUCAUACCUUGGCAUUGGCUCUUAGAUUUUUAUAAUAUUUGGAAUACUGUGAAAUUAAUAUUGGUGCCUUUAUAUGGAUUAUCCACAUGUCAUUCAUUAAGUAUUGUGAACAGCAGCUGCACAAUGCUAGAUAAUGGGAACACAAGUGAAUAAUUUAGUCUCUGUGUUCAAGCUUCUUCUAGACUGGUAGGGCAGGCAAAUACAAUAAACCAGAAUUUAGAGUACAGUGUAAGGACAAUGGCAGAGGAAUGUACUGUUUCCUAUUGAAUAAAGAAGAGCAUUUCGCUCUGAUUCCAGAAGUUGGGAGGAUGUGAUCUUUUGAGAUAGGUAAGCUGUUAAAUAGCAAAGGAAUUAAUCAAACUAGGUAACAGUCGUAAGAAAUUUUCGGUAUGUAGAAAAAAAUGACAGAACAGAUGGAAGGUAAUUGUCUAUUCUAAGUUAUCUUACACUUUUUACAUCUUAGGAACCCCCCUGCCCUGGAUCACUGCUAUAUAACUGGUAUUUCAAGAAUACUGACUAAUUUUGGUAUUGCUUGAUUAAAUCAGUUUAGUCUACAUCCAUGAAAACUAAGUAUAAGUUGCUUUUUUGAGCAUUCUCAAUUUUUUAAUCCUUCCUUGUCAUUUUAAUUUUAAAAGACUGAAAUAAAUUCAGUCUUUAAAAGACUGAAAGUCCAAGGUGGACUUAUUCAGUCUAUUUAAGGUAACAUUAUUUUUGAUUGUUUAGAGCCAAACUCACUUAAUUUUAGGUCUGUUUUAAAGAUUUUUACGUAGUAAGACAACUUCAUAAAGUCAUUUUUACUCCAUUUACUUAUCUGCAAAUGCAGUUGGAUUAGAGAAGGCCCCUUUCAAAACCAAAAUCCAAGGAUUAAGUUUUAUGUCUCAGGAGUGAUAUUUGUAAGUUGUUUGAAGAGCUGUCAGAAGAAAGGGUCCAUCUUCCCUAUAUCAAGAUUUGUCUUUAUUUUGACUACCCAAAUCAUGUAACGGGAUUUUUGCCCUCUGUUCGCCUCCCGUCCUUCUUUUGGCAUUGUUUCUGUGUAGGGAUUGAUUACCCGUCUCCACGCAAUUAGAUGUUCAUCUCUUAAAAAAUAAUGUACCUGAAUCUUGACAUUUAGAAAUGAUCCUUUCAUGACCGAUUUCUUGUAUGGAAUCUUAGAAUGUUAGUAGAAUUUAACAUAUGCCAGUUCUCUGACUCAGCAGUUAUUUGGUUUAGUACUAACUUUUUGGAUAAAUAAUUGCUCAAAAUGCUAUUCUCUUAGUCAAUAUCUCUAUAGUGCUAUGUUCUUACAUUUCUAUUUCCAGUAGAUAACUUACUAAAGCUAAAACAAAUUGAUGAUUUCUUCAUCUCCAAUUGGCAAGGUUUCUACGCUAUUGGUUUGUCUUACAUGUUUAUUCCCUGAAUUUUUUAGGUACUUUUAAUAUUGCUUUAUUGAAGUAAUAGAGAAAUUAGGUAGCAGUUUCAUGUUCAGAAUCCUCUUAUUUUGUCUUGGAGAUUUCUUUUUCUCUCUUAAGUAAGAUGGUAUAGCUCUUAACCAAACAAUGAAGCAUUGAUUAAAAGAAUACCAGUGAGUGGGGACUGCCUUAAAAGAGGGAAAAUCUGACUAUACUUUACCCACUUUCUUUUUUUUUCUUUACUUUCUUCCUUCCUUUCUUUUUAAAGAGCUUUGGCUUUAUUAUUUUGCUUUAGUUUUUUUCCUCUACCUCCCCAGUGUGCACUAUUAUUGUUAUUUAAACUUUCUUUUAAAGUGUAAGUCUUUUCCUUUUAGAUUUCUACUUUUUAGAUUUUUACUUUGCAAGCAAGUAAAACAGAUUUUAUAGAUUGAAGUAACAAGUUAUAUCUAAUGAAUAACUUUCUAAAAACUUACAUCAAUCUUGUCAUAGCCCAGCUUCAGUUCACACUGUGAACAUUACAUUCCUUUUUUGCAUCCCCCCCCUUAGAAAGUAGAAGGUGUUCCCAAAAUGUGUGUGUUUUUAAAUCACCAAAUUUUGUCUU